CUUGCUCAUGUGAGCUCUCUCUCUCAAACGAAUGAAUGAACAAAUGAAUAAAUAAACAUCUGCGUUAUGUAUGUCCAGGCCUGAAGUCCAUCAGCCAAGACUUAUUUUGGUGAAUCAAAGGAGCAAAAAUCUGGCAGUUUCCAGUUGCAGUGCGGGCUAUCCAAUGUACCCUGUUUUAAAAUCCACCGUUCAAAAUCAACAAAUGCAGAAUAAAAGUUGGGACUUGACUGCCUUUAUUUAGCCUGACGACCGCAAUGCUUGAAGCAGUCUUUUGACCUGGUAAGUGACCGAAGCACAAAUUAUAUGGGUCUUCUUAGUUUACCCUCUUGAUUUCACACAGGCUGCCUCU
Long non-coding RNA from Neofelis nebulosa (Clouded leopard), 349 nucleotides. RefSeq lists it as uncharacterized. The transcript is spliced from 3 exons. Lineage: Eukaryota; Metazoa; Chordata; Mammalia; Carnivora; Felidae. The record is from RefSeq and is a predicted model, not a curated record.